Molecule: ribosomal RNA, 377 nt
Filed under: uncultured Thelephoraceae
Lineage: Eukaryota; Fungi; Basidiomycota; Agaricomycetes; Thelephorales; Thelephoraceae
Description: eukaryotic LSU rRNA
Rfam family: Eukaryotic large subunit ribosomal RNA
Source: RNAcentral
UUGAUCUCAAAUCAGGUAGGACUACCCGCUGAACUUAAGCAUAUCAAUAAGCGGAGGAAAAGAAACUAACAAGGAUUCCCCUAGUAACUGCGAGUGAAGCGGGAAGAGCUCAAAUUUAAAAUCUGGCGUGCCUCCGGUCGUCCGAGUUGUAGUCUGGAGAAGUGUUUUCCGUGUUGGACCGUGUAUAAGUCUCUUGGAACAGGGCGUCAUAGAGGGUGAGAAUCCCGUCUUUGACACGGACUACCAAUGCUUUGUGAUGCGCUCUCAAAGAGUCGAGUUGUUUGGGAAUGCAGCUCAAAAUGGGUGGUAAAUUCCAUCUAAAGCUAAAUAUAGGCGAGAGACCGAUAGCGAACAAGUACCGUGAGGGAAAGAUGAAA